GCAAGGAAUAUUGGUCAAUGGACGAAAGUCUGAACCAGCCAUGCCGCGUGAAGGAUGAAGGCCCUCUGGGUUGUAAACUUCUUUUAUCUGGGACGAAAAAAGGGUAUUCUUACUCACUUGACGGUACCAGAGGAAUAAGCACCGGCUAACUCCGUGCCAGCAGCCGCGGUAAUACGGAGGGUGCAAGCGUUAUCCGGAUUCACUGGGUUUAAAGGGUGCGUAGGUGGGUAUUUAAGUCAGUGGUGAAAUCUCCGAGCUUAACUCGGAAACUGCCAUUGAUACUAUUUACCUUGAAUGCCCUGGAGGUAAGCGGAAUACGUCAUGUAGCGGUGAAAUGCUUAGAUAUGACAUAGAACACCAAUUGCGAAGGCAGCUUACUACGGGGUGAUUGACACUGAGGCACGAAAGCGUGGGGAGCAAACAGGAUUAGAAACCCUAGUAGUCC
Molecule: ribosomal RNA, 445 nt
Filed under: uncultured bacterium
Lineage: Bacteria
Description: partial 16S ribosomal RNA
Rfam family: Bacterial small subunit ribosomal RNA
Source: RNAcentral